GAUGAACGCUGGCGGCGUGCCUAACACAUGCAAGUCGAGCGAAGCGCUUAAGUCAGAAUCUUCGGAGGAAGACUUUUGUGACUGAGCGGCGGACGGGUGAGUAACGCGUGGGUAACCUGCCUUACACAGGGGGAUAACAGUUAGAAAUGACUGCUAAUACCGCAUAAGAUCACAGUACUGCAUGGUACAGUGGUAAAAACUGAGGUGGUGUAAGAUGGACCCGCGUCUGAGUAGGUAGUUGGUGGGGUAACGGCCCACCAAGCCGACGAUCAGUAGCCGGCCUGAGAGGGUGGACGGCCACAUUGGGACUGAGACACGGCCCAG
RNAcentral lists this ribosomal RNA (324 nucleotides) under uncultured bacterium. RNAcentral describes it as "bacterial SSU rRNA". It matches the Rfam family "Bacterial small subunit ribosomal RNA", at positions 28 to 334 of the family's 1533-position model. The record is from RNAcentral.